Molecule: ribosomal RNA, 492 nt
Filed under: uncultured bacterium
Lineage: Bacteria
Description: partial 16S ribosomal RNA
Rfam family: Bacterial small subunit ribosomal RNA
Source: RNAcentral
AGUGAACGCUGGCGAUAGGCCUAACACAUGCAAGUCGAACGGCAGCACAGUAAGAGCUUGCUCUUACGGGUGGCGAGUGGCGGACGGGUGAGGAAUACAUCGGAAUCUACUUUUUCGUGGGGGAUAACGUAGGGAAACUUACGCUAAUACCGCAUACGACCUACGGGCGAAAGCAGGGGAUCUUCGGACCUUGCGCGAUUGAAUGAGCCGAUGUCGGAUUAGCUAGUUGGCGGGGUAAAGGCCCACCAAGGCGACGAUCCGUAGCUGGUCUGAGAGGAUGAUCAGCCACACUGGAACUGAGACACGGUCCAGACUCCUACGGGAGGCAGCAGUGGGGAAUAUUGGACAAUGGGCGCAAGCCUGAUCCAGCCAUACCGCGUGGGUGAAGAAGGCCUUCGGGUUGUAAAGCCCUUUUGUUUGGAAAGAAAAGCAGCAGGUUAAUACCCCGCUGUUCUGACGGUACCCAAAGAAUAAGCACCGGCUAACUUCGUG